RNAcentral lists this ribosomal RNA (253 nucleotides) under uncultured bacterium. Its description in RNAcentral is "partial 16S ribosomal RNA". It matches the Rfam family "Bacterial small subunit ribosomal RNA", at positions 524 to 776 of the family's 1533-position model. The record is from RNAcentral.
UACGUAGGCAGCGAGCGUUGUUCGGAGUUACUGGGCGUAAAGCGUGCGUAGGCGGUGUCUUAAGUUUGUUGUGAAAUCUCCCGGCUUAACCGGGAGGGUGCGGCGAAUACUGAGAUGCUGGAGUGCCGGAGAGGUAAGCGGAAUUCCUGGUGUAGCGGUGAAAUGCGUAGAUAUCAGGAGGAACACCUGCGGUGUAGACGGCUUACUGGACGGUAACUGACGCUGAGGCACGAAAGCCAGGGGAGCGAACGGG